AAUCAACGCUGGCGGCGUGCCUAACACAUGCAAGUCGAGCGGGAAAGGGGGCUUCGGCCCCUGAGUAUAGCGGCGGACGGGUGAGUAACACGUGGGUAAUUUGCCCUUGGGUGUGGAAUAACUCAGGGAAACUUGAGCUAAUACCGCAUGACAUCCCCUUCUCACAGGAGUUGGGGAUCAAAGCCGGGGACCCUUCGGGGCCUGGCGCCUGGAGGAGAAGCCCGCGCCCGAUUAGCUAGUUGGUGAGGUAAUGGCUCACCAAGGCUUCGAUCGGUAGCCGGCCUGAGAGGGGCGGACGGCCACACUGGGACUGAGACACGG
RNAcentral lists this ribosomal RNA (321 nucleotides) under uncultured bacterium. Its description in RNAcentral is "bacterial SSU rRNA". It matches the Rfam family "Bacterial small subunit ribosomal RNA", at positions 32 to 329 of the family's 1533-position model. The record is from RNAcentral.